This 465-nucleotide ribosomal RNA is filed under the name Vreelandella stevensii. RNAcentral's name for it is "partial 16S ribosomal RNA". It matches the Rfam family "Bacterial small subunit ribosomal RNA", at positions 338 to 795 of the family's 1533-position model. Lineage: Bacteria; Pseudomonadati; Pseudomonadota; Gammaproteobacteria; Oceanospirillales; Halomonadaceae. The record is from RNAcentral.
CCUACGGGGGGCUGCAGUGGGGAAUAUUGGACAAUGGGGGCAACCCUGAUCCAGCCAUGCCGCGUGUGUGAAGAAGGCCCGCGGGUUGUAAAGCACUUUCAGUGAGGAAGAACGCCUGGUGGUUAAUACCCAUCAGGAAAGACAUCACUCACAGAAGAAGCACCGGCUAACUCCGUGCCAGCAGCCGCGGUAAUACGGAGGGUGCGAGCGUUAAUCGGAAUUACUGGGCGUAAAGCGCGCGUAGGUGGCUUGAUAAGCCGGUUGUGAAAGCCCCGGGCUCAACCUGGGAACGGCAUCCGGAACUGUCAAGCUAGAGUGCAGGAGAGGAAGGUAGAAUUCCCGGUGUAGCGGUGAAAUGCGUAGAGAUCGGGAGGAAUACCAGUGGCGAAGGCGGCCUUCUGGACUGACACUGCCACUGAGGUGCGAAAGCGUGGGUAGCAAACAGGAUUAGAUACCCUAGUAGUC